This 250-nucleotide unclassified non-coding RNA is filed under the name Hevea brasiliensis (rubber tree). The record is from RNAcentral. Lineage: Eukaryota; Viridiplantae; Streptophyta; Magnoliopsida; Malpighiales; Euphorbiaceae.
AAAGCCAAGGCGCUUCUCGCAGAGGCAGGUUAUCCCAAUGGCUUUGAGACCACGCUGUCGUUCGAUCUCGGGUUUGCCGGCGUCAACGAGCCACUGUGCAUUUUGGUGCAGGAAAGCCUCGGCCAGAUUGGCAUCAAGACCACCAUCAACAAGAUCCCCGGCGCGAACUGGCGCACGGAACUGAAUAAGAAGACGCUUCCGCUUUACACCAACGUGUUUUCCGGCUGGCUCGAUUAUCCCGAGUACUUCU